This 1275-nucleotide ribosomal RNA is filed under the name Triticum aestivum (bread wheat). RNAcentral's name for it is "partial small subunit ribosomal RNA". The record is from RNAcentral. Lineage: Eukaryota; Viridiplantae; Streptophyta; Magnoliopsida; Poales; Poaceae.
AUGGCAAAAUCAACCACGUCACGGCGAUGUUACUUAAAAAAUGAAAAAUAUAAACCCCUUGAUCGAUCACGGCAAGUGGUACAGGUUGGACGGCCUGAUCCCGGCGGUGACGUUGAAGUAUCUGAAGGCAGCCGCCCACCGGCGGUUGUCCUUGAUCAUGUGCACGGCGACGGUGUCCGGCCGGAAGUUGUCCAUGUUCCAGUUGAGGUCGUACAUCCGCGGCCUGAGGCUGUACCGGUUCUUGCCCCGGCGCCCGAUGUUGAGCCACUUGCCGAAGAGGAGGUCCUCGGGGCCGUGGGUGUCGUUGUGCCGGAGGAUCUCCUCGUUGGUGGACACCCAGGUCGCGACGUCCCACGAGACGACGUACCCCAUGCCGUGCAUGAACUGCAUGGGGUCGUCGCCGACGGCGAAGCCGUAGCCGAGGUACAGGUCGUCGCGGGGCCUGGGCCGGAGCUCCUCGGCCAUGGCGGCCACGCGCAGGUACGUGUCGUCGUCGGUCUUCAUCACGUAGUCGUAGGGCGCGCCCGCGAACACCCGCGGCACGGAGGAGAAGUACUGGUGGGUCUUGCCGUCGUUCAUGUUCUCGGUGCAGUUGAGCAGGAGGACGUCGCCGUGCCGCGCGGCCUCCAGCGCCACCAGCACCCGGUCCACCGGGUCGUCCACGCCGCAGAACACGAAGCGCACGUCCACCCGCGCGUACGCGGGCACCGGCGGCUGCAGCGCGUACGCCAGGCGCACGAUGUCCCGCCGCUCGCGCCGCUUGGGCGUGGUCAGCACCCCGACGAGCAGGCGGAACUCCGGCUGCGCCGCCGCAGCGGAGACGGCCUUCUCGGCCCCCGACGCGACGGAGUAGCCGUCGGCGCCGAGGCUGGGGCAGAGCACGCCGAGCCCGUCGGAGCGGGCGUGGGAGGAGCCGAGGCUGGGGAUGACGACCACCGCGGCGAGGAGGCCGAGGGGCACGAGGAGGAGGUACGGGGCGCAGAGCGACGAGGCGGCGGGGAAGAGCGCCUGCGACGACGAGCUGGUCUUCAUGGCGCGUCCCGCGGGAUGAAAAUGGAACUUGGAAACCCACGUCCACGUGCAAUUAUAAGCCAGCCAUGGACGCGACUAGCACGUACGCCUUCGAUCAACGUGGGAUUAAUAAGCCGCGUAAACUGUUGGUUGAAUCGUUCUCGUGGACACGCGGCCGUCGAGACUGCUCUUCAGGGUCGACAAGGGAUCCGUCCGCGCCUUCCAUCGGAUCUUCUUGUGCGUAUUAACAUUAACAUUUGUUAG